CCUCCCAUCAGAGUGGUUGUGAUGUGGUGCUAUUGAUUCAUAUCACAGCCAGCUUUGAUGAGCGGAA
Molecule: non-coding RNA, 67 nt
Organism: Camponotus floridanus (Florida carpenter ant)
Lineage: Eukaryota; Metazoa; Arthropoda; Insecta; Hymenoptera; Formicidae
Source: Rfam